This 340-nucleotide long non-coding RNA is filed under the name Homo sapiens (human). RNAcentral's name for it is "HSALNT0358320". Lineage: Eukaryota; Metazoa; Chordata; Mammalia; Primates; Hominidae. The record is from RNAcentral.
ACUUCGUCUUCCGAGGCUCUGGGGAAGGACCGCUCCGUCUCACGGGUCACUUGGACAGUGGGCGCACCCGAGGGUUGAGGCGUCAUCCUACGGCGGGGUCAGAGGGAAGGGUAAGUUUGAGUCCGUCACUGGGCGCAGUCCGCGAUUCCGAGGCUAGGUGGGAAAAAACAAAAACAGCCAUCCUCCCAGCCCCCGCUGGGUCAGAGGAUCCCUCUUUCCCCUGCCCGUCCCUCGGAGGCCUCCAAAUAUUACCUUUCUACCGGCGCAAAAGAAUAGAGAGCGAUGAGCAGCGAGGGCCGUGGGGAGCUCAGCGGGCUUCUGGUCGCCAAGUUCAGCUGAG